This 71-nucleotide transfer RNA is filed under the name Loxodonta africana (African savanna elephant). It matches the Rfam family "tRNA". From Rfam's summary of the family: Transfer RNA (tRNA) molecules are approximately 80 nucleotides in length. The record is from Rfam by way of RNAcentral. Lineage: Eukaryota; Metazoa; Chordata; Mammalia; Proboscidea; Elephantidae.
GUAGUGGUGGUUCAGUGGCAGAAUUCUCACCUUUCAUGAGAGAGACAUAGGUUUGAUUCCCGGCCAAUGCA